GAUGAAGAACGCAGCGAAAUGCGAUACGUAAUGUGAAUUGCAGAAUUCAGUGAAUCAUCGAGUCUUUGAACGCACAUUGCGCCCCCUGGUAUUCCGGGGGGCAUGCCUGUCCGAGCGUCAUUGCUGCCCUCAAGCACGGCUUGUGUGUUGGGCCUCCGUCCUCCUCCCGGGGGACGGGCCCGAAAGGCAGCGGCGGCACCGCGUCCGGUCCUCGAGCGUAUGGGGCUUCGUCACCCGCUCUUGUAGGCCCGGCCGGCGCUUGCCGACACAUCAAUCUUUUUUCCAGGUUAACCUCGGAUCAGGUAGGGAUACCCGCUGAACUUAAGCAUAUCAAUAAGCGGAGGA
This 345-nucleotide unclassified non-coding RNA is filed under the name soil metagenome. Its description in RNAcentral is "partial contains 5.8S ribosomal RNA, internal transcribed spacer 2, and large subunit ribosomal RNA". The stretch from base 1 to 120 matches the Rfam family "5.8S ribosomal RNA", at positions 35 to 154 of the family's 154-position model. The record is from RNAcentral.